UACGGAGGGGACUAGCGUUGUUCGGAAUUACUGGGCGUAAAGCGCACGUAGGCGGAUUUGUAAGUCAGGGGUGAAAUCCCGGGGCUCAACCUCGGAACUGCCUUUGAUACUGCAAAUCUCGAGUCCGGAAGAGGCGAGUGGAAUUCCUGGUGUAGCGGUGAAAUGCGCAGAUAUCAGGAGGAACACCGGUGGCGAAGGCGGGUCUCUGGGCCGAUAUUGACGCUGAGGAGCGAAAGCGUGGGGAGCGAACAGG
This 253-nucleotide ribosomal RNA is filed under the name uncultured bacterium. RNAcentral's name for it is "partial 16S ribosomal RNA". It matches the Rfam family "Bacterial small subunit ribosomal RNA", at positions 524 to 776 of the family's 1533-position model. The record is from RNAcentral.